UGGAAUUAAUGAAUUUAUGCCAUGUACCAAAGCGUUCAGACUUGUUCCUCCCACUUUCUUGUACAAAUCUAAUAAAAUUAAAAAUGCCACUAAUUUGACAACAAAAAUAAUACCCAGUUGAGUUCCUUAUAAAUAGGCCACAACUCACAGAAGUCCUCCUAUAGAGAUGGGCAACUGUUGCAGACGUGAAUCGGCGUCAGAAUGGGCAUCUCUGGAUGAGAUGGAGUCGCAGCCUCCGUCUCCGUCUCCGCCUCCGCCUCCGCCUCCGCGUCCGCGUCCGGUGGUGAAGAUCAAGAUCACGAAGACAGAGUUGGAGGAACUGGUCGCUUCUGCUCGGCGCCAGGACCUUCCGGUCGACCGACUCUUGUCGCGCUUCAUUCAACCUCGCAGUCGCCGCUCCUGGGCCCCUUCUUUACAUACCAUUUCCGAGUAAUUCUUUCCUUCUUUCUUUUCAUUGAUUAUAGUGUAUUCCUUCAUGGGGAUUUAGACAUUGUAGGCUUUGUAGCUCAAUCCAAUGAGAAUUCUUCUUCUUUAUGAAGCUGUAUUGUAUACUCGAUCCAUAUAUUUGGCUUCAUUCUUGAUCUACCAGAUUUAGUUGACUAUAUAUACAGCGUCGCUUUUUCUUCUAUUUUUUUUUU
This 638-nucleotide long non-coding RNA is filed under the name Salvia miltiorrhiza (redroot sage). RNAcentral's name for it is "long non-coding RNA (SMIL_LNC009471)". Lineage: Eukaryota; Viridiplantae; Streptophyta; Magnoliopsida; Lamiales; Lamiaceae. The record is from RNAcentral.